This 703-nucleotide ribosomal RNA is filed under the name uncultured bacterium. RNAcentral describes it as "bacterial SSU rRNA". It matches the Rfam family "Bacterial small subunit ribosomal RNA", at positions 138 to 826 of the family's 1533-position model. The record is from RNAcentral.
GGGGGAUAACAUUUGGAAACAGAUGCUAAUACCGGAUAGAUCCAAGAACCCCAUGGUUCUUGGCUGAAAGAUGGCGUAAGCUAUCGCUUUUGGAUGGACCCGCGGCGUAUUAGCUAGUUGGUGAGGUAAUGGCUCACCAAGGCGAUGAUACGUAGCCGAACUGAGAGGUUGAUCGGCCACAUUGGGACUGAGACACGGCCCAAACUCCUACGGGAGGCAGCAGUAGGGAAUCUUCCACAAUGGACGCAAGUCUGAUGGAGUUAACGCCGCGUGAGUGAAGAAGGCUUUCGGGUCGUAAAACUCUGUUGUUGGAGAAGAAUGGUCGGCAGAGUAACUGUUGUCGGCGUGACGGUAUCCAACCAGAAAGCCACGGCUAACUACGUGCCAGCAGCCGCGGUAAUACGUAGGUGGCAAGCGUUAUCCGGAUUUAUUGGGCGUAAAGCGAGCGCAGGCGGUUUUUUAAGUCUGAUGUGAAAGCCCUCGGCUUAACCGAGGAAGCGCAUCGGAAACUGGGAAACUUGAGUGCAGAAGAGGACAGUGGAACUCCAUGUGUAGCGGUGAAAUGCGUAGAUAUAUGGAAGAACACCAGUGGCGAAGGCGGCUGUCUGGUCUGUAACUGACGCUGAGGCUCGAAAGCAUGGGUAGCGAACAGGAUUAGAUACCCUGGUAGUCCAUGCCGUAAACGAUGAAUGCUAGGUGUUGG